RNAcentral lists this ribosomal RNA (467 nucleotides) under uncultured bacterium. RNAcentral describes it as "partial 16S ribosomal RNA". It matches the Rfam family "Bacterial small subunit ribosomal RNA", at positions 28 to 507 of the family's 1533-position model. The record is from RNAcentral.
GAUGAACGCUGACAGAAUGCUUAACACAUGCAAGUCAACUUGAAUUUGGGUUUUUAACUUAGGUUUGGGUGGCGGACGGGUGAGUAACGCGUAAAGAACUUGCCUCACAGCUAGGGACAACAUUUGGAAACGAAUGCUAAUACCUAAUAUUAUGAUAAUAGGGCCUCCUAUAAUUAUGAAAGCUAUAAGCGCUGUGAGAGAGCUUUGCGUCCCAUUAGCUAGUUGGAGAGGUAACGGCUCACCAAGGCGAUGAUGGGUAGCCGGCCUGAGAGGGUGAUCGGCCAAAAGGGGACGGAGACACGGCCCGUAUCCCUCCGGGAGGCAGCGGUGGGGAAUAUGGGACAAUGGACCAAGAGUCUGAUCCAGCAAUUCUGUGUGGAAGAUGAAGUUUUUCGGAAUGUAAAGUGCUUUCAGUUGGGAAGAAAGAAAUGACGGUACCAACAGAAGAAGUGACGGCUAAAUACGUG